CGAGCGGAGAUUCAGGAAGAGCUUGCUCGGAGAGGAAUUUCAGCGGCGGACGGGUGAGUAACGCGUGAGCAACCUGCCUUCAACAGGGGGACAACGCAUCGAAAGAUGUGCUAAUACCGCGUAAGACCACAGCAUCACAUGAUGCAGGGGUCAAAGGAGCAAUCCGGUUGAAGAUGGGCUCGCGUCCGAUUAGCUGGUUGGCGGGAUAAAAGCCCACCAAGGCGACGAUCGGUAGCCGACCUGAGAGGAUGAUCGGCCACAUUGGAACUGAGAGACGGUCCAGACUCCUACGGGAGGCAGCAGUGGGGAAUAUUGGGCAAUGGGCGAAAGCCUGACCCAGCAACGCCGCGCGAGGGAUGAAGGGUUUCGGCUCGUAAACCUCUGUCCUGUGGGACGAAGGACGUGACGGUACCACAGGAGGAAGCCCCGGCUAACUACGUGCCAGCAGCCGCGGUAAUACGUAGGGGGCGAGCGUUGUCCGGAAUGAUUGGGCGUAAAGGGCGCGUAGGCGGCCUGCUAAGUCUGGAGUGAAAGUCCUGCUUUCAAGGUGGGAAUUGCUUUGGAUACUGGCGGGCUGGAGUGCAGGAGAGGAAAGCGGAAUUACCGGUGUAGCGGUGAAAUGCGUAGAGAUCGGUAGGAACACCAGUGGCGAAGGCGGCUUUCUGGACUGAAACUGACGCUGAGGCGCGAAAGCGUGGGGAGCAAACAGGAUUAGAUACCCUGGUAGUCCACGCUGUAAACGAUGA
This 746-nucleotide ribosomal RNA is filed under the name uncultured bacterium. Its description in RNAcentral is "bacterial SSU rRNA". It matches the Rfam family "Bacterial small subunit ribosomal RNA", at positions 63 to 812 of the family's 1533-position model. The record is from RNAcentral.